GCCGUCGUAGCUCAGCAGGAUAGAGCGCUGGGUUCCGAACCCAAAGGCCGCAGGUUCGAAUCCUGCCGAUGGCUCCA
Molecule: transfer RNA, 77 nt
Filed under: Ancylobacter polymorphus
Lineage: Bacteria; Pseudomonadati; Pseudomonadota; Alphaproteobacteria; Hyphomicrobiales; Xanthobacteraceae
Description: tRNA-Arg
Rfam family: tRNA
About the family: Transfer RNA (tRNA) molecules are approximately 80 nucleotides in length. Their secondary structure includes four short double-helical elements and three loops (D, anti-codon, and T loops).
Source: RNAcentral